This is a long non-coding RNA of Colius striatus (speckled mousebird), 5007 nucleotides long. RefSeq lists it as uncharacterized. The transcript has 3 exons. The record is from RefSeq and is a predicted model, not a curated record. Lineage: Eukaryota; Metazoa; Chordata; Aves; Coliiformes; Coliidae.
UGUGCAUGAUGAUAGUGCAACUACAGUGGUCACCAGGACAACAGGCACAGCCUGUCAAACUGAUAAGAACCUGGUCAGCUGGGAUUACACUGGAGAGAGCAAGACUGAGGCGAUGAAUGUAAUACACAGCAGUGAACUGCAAGUGGCAUUUUGUUUUCCCCUUAGGGAGAGAGAAUGAGGACAACCAUGAGAGCAAAAAGAAAGAAGAGGGUCUGAAGAGAAGAGUCUUACAGCUUCAAGGCCCAUGGUCUGACUAUUUUACCAGUGCAGAAACAGAUGUGAAACACAACCUGGAAAGAAAACCAGUUGAAAGUGGAAGGCAAGUCCAUUUUAUCAUGUUGUGUAUAGCAUAUGGCAGGGGGAUGUGACAGACAGAUUUAUCAAAGUAAUACAGCCUUGUCAGAAUAAGAACUGUGCAUAUCCUGGCAAAGUCCAAGAAUCCUGAUAAGACCAUUCCUUGUAAAACUGAUAAGAAAUAUUGUCCUGGCUGUUUGAGGGACAUUCAUGGACACAGCAGGGCUUCUGCCAGAGCAAGGCUUGCAUUAGCUAUGUUCAAAAUAAGGUCUGGAAAUGCACGUCACGCUGGUCAAGCUCUAAUCUAAAAAGGAACUGGGGAGCAAGACAAGUACUGUCACGUUGUAUGCCAUGGGAUCAGGCAGACAUACCAGCCAGUGAUAAAGGGAUAGGUAAUGGUUAAAGGUCUCCUCCCCACCUUUGCUCUCUGCUCCUUCCUGGACAGAGAGGAAGAACUUCAGUCUCUUUCUGCUGUCUCCCAGAUGUGAAUUGUCUCAUUAGAAAGGUGCCCCAGCAUUCAGCACCCUCUCUGUGCCUGCACAUUAGCGAAAGGGCAACUGCAAAGCCAGCUGCACAAAUAUCUCUGCUUGGCAGGACUGUGAUAUGAGAUUCUCACAAUGGUCCAACACAUUCAAGGCCUCAGAGAGCACAACAAAGCAACGUCAAGAAACAGAAAAAUGUCAUCAAGGCCAAAUAGGUGGGUUUCUUGCAUUUGUUUUGCAUCUCAGUCAAAACAGACAGGCAUAGUGCAGGGAGACAAAGAGGCCUUUCUCAGCAAGCAGUGUGGCAUGCACUCCUGGGUCACCUUGGGCAGCUUUUGUCUGCUGAGUCCCCUUUCCCCGUUUUGAUUGUAGCUGCAUCUUUUCUGCAUCAUACUUAAUGCAUGCCCACCUCUGCCCUCAACCACAAGCUGUUUCUGCUUAGCUAAUGCUUUUCUUGGCAAGCACAGCCAGGCAAGCCAGAGUUCAGUCUGCACUCCACUCAGCUGAAGCACAGAUGACUGGCUCUGGGAAAUGCUGCAGAGCUAUGGCCAAAAUGAACUGAAGUCACUUACAUGGAGCUGCAAAUUGCUCUGUGUUGGUACUUGGCCAGUUUGAUUCUGGCCCAUGACCGGGCAUCCAGCCACAGCCAAAGGACAAAUCAAAAUAAACAAACCAGGAGUUUCUUCUAAGGACAUUUUAUGAAGAGAUUUUCAAAGAAGGAUUUAAGAACAGAAUCCUGUCUGUCCUUAAUGCCUUGGCAUGGACUGUGCACAAUGACAGACUCUCUCAAAAGCUUUAAACAUGGUGUUAAGUGGGAAAUGGGCAAGAUAUAGGACAAGAGUUAAGACUUACAGGGCUUCUCACAGCUCUAUCACAGCUCUCCCUUGCAAGUGACACAUGCCAAGCUUUCAGAAGCAGAGUGAGUGGCUGAGGCUUAUGUGCUGCUGAGUAAAGGCUUACAAAUUUGUCUUUAUUUUAUCUGAUGUUUUUAUUUACUUGUAGAGAAGCAGUCCUCAGUUAGCACUACAUCAAAGAGCCUGAUAAUUAAUGAGCCCAUGACUAAUAACUCUCCUUUGAUUCUCUUGUUUUCAUUACUGAGGUUUUUUGAGGAAUAGGUUAUAGAGCCUCUUGUGCAAUAGCCCUGUGCAGAGUCCACAGAUGUAGGGACAUAGAUCUCCCAGAAACUAUAAAAUCAUAGAAUCACAGAAUGGUGGGGGUUGGAAGGAACUUUUAGAGAUCAUCCAGUCCAAUCCCCUGCCAAAGCAGGUCCCACCUAGAUCAGGUCACACAGGAAUGCGUCCAGGCAGGUCUUAAAGACUUCCAGAGAAGGAGCCUCCACACCCUCCCUGAGCAGCCUGGUCCAUCACUGUGGCAAACACAAGACUGCUUGCAGAUCUGGAGCACGCACAAGCAUCAGGGAUACCGUCUUCUCCAUUAGAUCUGCCAAGCAGAAGCACAAACAGAAUCCCUAGCUGGGCCUCAGUACUGCUCUCAAAACCCAGCUCUCCCACCAAUGCCUUCAUACUAUUCUUAAGCAAAGAAACUCCACGCUCACAGGAGCAGAAUAGAAGAACAAAACAUGCUGUAGCAGCAGUCCAGACCCCUAGAAACUAGCUCAGCAGCCCCAUGUUUCUGCCAACAAGAGAAGGACUUUGAGAGCGCUUGAGAUCUCCGAGGUCACCCCAGACUGCGAGGAGGUUCUGCAGCCAGGCUCUCAAAUCCAGGGGCUACCACACCUUCCUCUUAGGAAAAAUAGAAGCCAACGACUAACUAACUCUAAGCACUCAUUACUCUUUUUUCACUACUUGGAGUUAACAUCUGCUGGGAAAUCAAUACUAAUUAUCACAGCACUGGUUGCCAGACAAUCAGUGGCCAAAGGAAACGGAUGAGAGAGGAUGGAUAUGUGGAAGUGCUGGCAAAGCACGACAGGUGCAGAAGGCCUGAGCAAUUUCUUUAAUGAAAUGGAAAUGAAAGCAUAAAUCUCUAAAAUGAUACUGGAAAAGAGAUUUAACUUAAGGCACAGGCAGACAGAUUUUGAUGUCUGAAGUCUGGCAAUGACAAGUAGCAGUGAAAUGUAAAUGCAGUGGUUGCUAAUGGGCAUAAUGAACAGGAAGGCAGCUUUGACAGUACUUUCUCAGCUGGAAGCUCUAUUCCUCAGGGACUCCUGAUCUUCUACACCCACUUCUUUGAGCAACCAUGUAAAUGUAGCAGGCAGAUUUGCCAGCCUCAAGCAUGCAACUGCUGGAUAAUGCUAGUGGUUGCCAGUUAGGUCCAUGGCCAAAGCUGCUACUUGGACAAACUCAGGAAACCUGCCUUCUCCAAUUCCUAUCAUCACCAACACUUCCACCUACUGCUGAGACACAUGGAGAAAAGACAGCUCUCCAAGCUGAAGGCAUCUCUCUUUCACAGACCUCCGAACUGUGCUGUGCCAAAUUCACCUCCCAAUCAAACUUCCACCCCAUCUGUGCUUUUCAUUCAUUUCUGAGAGUUUGCCUUUGUUUUUUUGCCUCUUUAAACACAGACAGCCUGAGUUUUAUUUGCUCAAAGGAUUUUUUAUUUUGGCCUUUCAUCCAAAUAACCACUGUCUGUAAAAUUCCAAACAGACUCUUCCCACAGGCAAAAAAACACCCAGCCAAGUGCCACCCCAAAGGUAAAGGUACGCUACUGAAAAGUCACCAACAUCUACAAAAACCAUGCAAGGCAAAUCAACAUGCUCCUGUUCAAAACACACAAUGAAAAUCCAUGGUAUCCUAGCAAACACAGUGAGAUCACUCAAAUGGAGUACAUGCAGCCUGACAGUCCAAACACACACUUUUCUAACACACUGCUGAAGAUAUGAACUGCUUAAAAUUCAGCAAUGCACAUGACAACCUUCAGCCUUUCUCUCAGCUCUCAUGAAUGGGUAUUACUCAGCUGUUCAGGAAGCUUGACAGUUCUUCCAGAUGUACAAUUGGUCUAAGAAAAGAUACAUUACUACUAUUAUUUUGGAAAGGGCAUUCCCAUAAACAUACAUCCAGCCAGAGCUGGGAGAGUUGGAGAGUCAGGUCCAGCAUCUUUAGCACUGCUCCCCACCCUCUGCAUUACAUCCUGAUAGGAAACCCUGGGAUACAGAAAAAGUAUCAUUUUCCCUUAGUCUUUACAGCUAUCAGAGACUAGUUGAUAUUCUGCAGAGAAGGCUGGUCGCUUCUUUUUGCUGAGACACCUCCCUUACAUCAGCAGACACACUGGAAGAGAAAGAGGGAGGGCAGGAGGGAGCCUCAUGGUGUCUACUGAGGCAGUAUCAAGAGAUCUGGAGCAGAGCCUGUCCCACGCUGCCAGCUGAACACCAAGCCCCUGCAGGGCACUCAGAUCUAAAGACUAGCUGGGAGAUUUUAGCAUUUCUGCAUAGUAAUAGAAGGAAUGUAAAUAACUACUAUAAAUAAUGGCUGUAUGUGCAUCAUAUGGUGCUCUCAGGUGUUUUUUUUCUCUGAUUCCUGAACUACUACUAAUAGCUAACAGGAAUGCUAAUGUUACAGAGCAUGGAAAGGAAGACAUUUCACAGUGAGUCUCCCCAAGAUGAACAGUGGGCUGCCAGCCAGCAAUGAUUGUAGAGCUUUUGAACAGUAAAACCAGAAUUAACCUCUGCCCCAUCCUUCUGAUUGGUGCCUAGUGUCAAUCCCACUGGAUUUUGGACCCGUGCUUCCCCAAAGGUUGCAUAUUCAAACCUGGUAUGUAAAUAAUUAAACUCACUCUCCACAUUGCCAAGGCAGGAAGAAGAAAGGCUAUUGCUAUUCAGGGUUCAGUGUAACUAUACAUAACCCUGGCCCUCCUUCCAUCCUUCUGAAAUUACUGAAAUUCCAGCCAAAGCCGUGAAGACAGCACGAUGAGGAAUCACUCACUCAGCUGCUAAAGUGUUCCUGCCCUCACUGGACAAAAUAACAGCCUCUGGGAGAUAACACAGCUUACAGCAGAGGGAAAAAACAUUCUUCAAGGUCAGGGUUACCAAAUGGUAUUGAAACAGGGUUGUGCUUACAGCCAACCACAUCACUGACAGAUGACAAACUUGCUGAUGGAUAAACCACAGCCAGGACACAAAGUUGUCUAUCAGAGAAUGUAAACACACAUGAUUGCAAUGCCCAUUUUUGAAGAUUUACCUUUUAAAUGUAGACCUGUACUAGGAUUUUCAAUAGAAUUUUUAUUUUGCAGCUUUAUCACAGGCAUUGACUCUUGGUUAUUUCUAAUAAAAACUGUC